GGAUGGGAGGGUGAUCUGGCUGCAACAUUCUGUCACCCCGUUAAUGGCCAAGUCACUUCACCUGGUGUGGCUGGCUGGGGGUGCCCCCUUCCUGCCUCAGCACUCCAUGCACCUGUGUACCUGCUGAAGCUCCGUGCUUGGUCUAAGAGGGCAGCCUUCCCCUCUAGAGGAGGACUGUUCUUCAGUAGAGGCUAUACAAAUGGCUGUGCUUCCCCGCUAGAACUUUUCAAAUAAGCCCUCAAGAUAUUCAGCAUUUUAAAAUCAGUGACAAGGCAAAAAAAAUAAAACCACCUUUUUAAGUGUUUCUUUUA
RNAcentral lists this small nuclear RNA (311 nucleotides) under Dasypus novemcinctus (nine-banded armadillo). RNAcentral describes it as "7SK RNA (ENSDNOG00000027905.1)". It matches the Rfam family "7SK RNA". From Rfam's summary of the family: 7SK was discovered as an abundant small nuclear RNA in the mid-70s but a possible function has only recently been suggested. Lineage: Eukaryota; Metazoa; Chordata; Mammalia; Cingulata; Dasypodidae. The record is from RNAcentral.